This 1015-nucleotide long non-coding RNA is filed under the name Mus musculus (house mouse). RNAcentral's name for it is "forkhead box D2, opposite strand". The record is from RNAcentral. Lineage: Eukaryota; Metazoa; Chordata; Mammalia; Rodentia; Muridae.
AGAGGUCCUCUGCUCCCGGGCCCGGCGGGAACAAACUGCCGCGGUGGCGGGAGCUAGGCUCGCUUGGCUGGAGGCGGGUCAUCCUUCUCCUCGCAGCUCCCGCAACCCCGUGGCUCCCUGGAGCCACCACCACCUUCAGUGCGCUCAGUUACUGGAAGUCAAAGCUUAUGCCGGCGCAGCUGCAUCUGGUGGUGGCAGUGGCUACAAACCUCCUCUCCUCAUCUCCCCAAGGCGGCGCCCGGGCCACCCGGGCCGAAGCGCGGAUGGAUCGCCAGUGAGCCGAGAUGGCCAGACCGACGCCGCGGACAAGGACCUACUGGAGGCUAAGGGAGUUCUGGAGGACAAGUGAAGAGAGUGAUCCAGAGGAACAAACUCGGGCGCCGGAAGAUCCUACUCAGAUAGGCUAAAGAUUCCAAUGGAUGGAGGAAGAGAAGGCUUCGUAGGAACCAGAACAGCUGUCAGCUGCAGAGCCAAGCUUCUCCAGGAAGCCUGAGUCAUCCUGAGUCCCUCCCAUCUCAGAAAUGAUGUGUAGUUUCCAAAACAAUUUAUCUCUACUGGAACAAGGAAAUAAACAAAAGAAAAAGGAAGAGAUAGAAUCCAGGAAGCAGAAGGCGUAACACAGGACCGAGAUGAAGGGAUGUGACAGAGCACUUGAUUCACAUGUUCACGGCAUGGGUUUGAUCUCCAGUGUUGCAAAGCAAAGAAAAAGAAAGAAAGAAAGAAAGAAAGAAAGAAAGAAAGAAAGAAAGAAAGAAAGGAAGAAAGAAGCCAGGCGUGGUGGCGCACGCCUUUAAUCCCAGCACUCGGGAGGCAGAGGGAUGAAGAGAUGGCUCAGUAGUUGGGAGCACUGACUGCUCAUCAGAGGUCUUCAAUUCCCAGAAACCACAUGGUAACUCACAACCAUCUGUAAUGGGAUCUGAUGCCUUCUUCUCAUGUGUCUGAAGACAGUGUACUGAUAUACAUAAAAUAAAUACAUAAAUAAAAAUAAAUAAAAUUUUAAUUUUUUAUAUGUAUG